GUCUACAGCCAUGCUACCCUGAACAAGCCAGACCCUGGUAUGAUCUCGGGAAGCAAGAUAAGCAGGGUGGGGCGUGGUUAGUACUUGGAUGGGAGACCAGGUGCUGUAGGCG
Molecule: ribosomal RNA, 112 nt
Filed under: Pteropus alecto (black flying fox)
Lineage: Eukaryota; Metazoa; Chordata; Mammalia; Chiroptera; Pteropodidae
Also listed under: 1 other name
Source: RNAcentral